GUGCUAGCUUCAGCAGCACAUAUACUAAAAUUGGAACAAUACAGAGAUGAUUGGCAUGGCCCCUGCGCAAGGGUGACACGCAAAUUCAUGAAGCGUUCCAUAUUUUU
RNAcentral lists this small nuclear RNA (107 nucleotides) under Chinchilla lanigera (long-tailed chinchilla). Lineage: Eukaryota; Metazoa; Chordata; Mammalia; Rodentia; Chinchillidae. The record is from RNAcentral.